This 490-nucleotide ribosomal RNA is filed under the name uncultured bacterium. RNAcentral describes it as "partial 16S ribosomal RNA". It matches the Rfam family "Bacterial small subunit ribosomal RNA", at positions 30 to 507 of the family's 1533-position model. The record is from RNAcentral.
AUUGAACGCUGGCGGCAGGCCUAACACAUGCAAGUCGAACGGUAACAGGAAGCAGCUUGCUGCUUUGCUGACGAGUGGCGGACGGGUGAGUAAUGUCUGGGAAACUGCCCGAUGGAGGGGGAUAACUACUGGAAACGGUAGCUAAUACCGCAUAACGUCGCAAGACCAAAGAGGGGGACCUUAGGGCCUCUUGCCAUCGGAUGUGCCCAGAUGGGAUUAGCUAGUAGGUGGGGUAACGGCUCACCUAGGCGACGAUCCCUAGCUGGUCUGAGAGGAUGACCAGCCACACUGGAACUGAGACACGGUCCAGACUCCUACGGGAGGCAGCAGUGGGGAAUAUGGCACAAUGGGCGCAAGCCUGAUGCAGCCAUGCCGCGUGUAUGAAGAAGGCCUUCGGGUUGUAAAGUACUUUCAGCGGGGAGGAAGGGAGUAAAGUUAAUACCUUUGCUCAUUGACGUUACCCGCAGAAGAAGCACCGGCUAACUCCGUG